RNAcentral lists this transfer RNA (73 nucleotides) under Stegodyphus mimosarum. It matches the Rfam family "tRNA". From Rfam's summary of the family: Transfer RNA (tRNA) molecules are approximately 80 nucleotides in length. Lineage: Eukaryota; Metazoa; Arthropoda; Arachnida; Araneae; Eresidae. The record is from Rfam by way of RNAcentral.
GCCUUUGGAGUGUAGUGGUCAGCACGCUUGGCGUGUUAUCGAGAGGUCUGUGGUUCGAGUCCAGGCGAGGGCG